GCGGGGGAUCUGGCGAUCAGCGGGGUCUCAUACGCCCUGCGCGCGGGUUCGAUCCCCGCCCCCGCCACCA
Molecule: transfer RNA, 70 nt
Filed under: Acidimicrobiales bacterium
Lineage: Bacteria; Bacillati; Actinomycetota; Acidimicrobiia; Acidimicrobiales
Also listed under: 1 other name
Description: tRNA-OTHER
Source: RNAcentral